AGUAACCUGCCUCUAAGAGGGGGAAGAACAUUCUGAAGAGAAUGCUAAUACCGCAUAACAUAUAUUUAUCGCAUGGUAGAUAUAUCAAAGAUUUAUCGCUUAGAGAUGGACUCGCGUCCGAUUAGUUAGUUGGUGAGGUAACGGCUCACCAAGACUGCGAUCGGUAGCCGGACUGAGAGGUUGAACGGCCACAUUGGGACUGAGACACGGCCCAG
RNAcentral lists this ribosomal RNA (215 nucleotides) under uncultured bacterium. RNAcentral describes it as "partial 16S ribosomal RNA". It matches the Rfam family "Bacterial small subunit ribosomal RNA", at positions 120 to 334 of the family's 1533-position model. The record is from RNAcentral.